Molecule: ribosomal RNA, 406 nt
Filed under: uncultured bacterium
Lineage: Bacteria
Description: partial 16S ribosomal RNA
Rfam family: Bacterial small subunit ribosomal RNA
Source: RNAcentral
AUUGAACGCUGGCGGCAGGCCUAACACAUGCAAGUCGAACGAGUGGCGGGCGGGGGAGUAAUGUCUGGGAAACAGCCCGAUGGAGGGGGGUAAAUACUGGAAAAGGUAGAUAAUACCGCGUACCACAGGAUGUGCCCCGAUGGGAUUAGCUUGUAGGUGAGGUAACGGCUCACCUAGGCGACGAUCCCUAGCUGGUGUGAGAGGGUGAUCAGCCACACUGGAACUGAGACACGGUCCAGACUCCUACGGGAGGCAGCAGUGGGGAAUAUUGCACAAUGGGCGCAAGCCUGAUGCAGCCAUACCGCGUGGGUGAAGAAGGCCUUCGGGUUGUAAAGUCCUUUUGUUGGGAAAGCGGUACCCAAAGAAUAAGCACCGGCUAACUCCGUGCCAGCAGCCGCGGUAAUAC